GGCACUGUGACUCAAAGUGGUAGAGUGCCAGCCUUGAGCAGAAGUGUUCAGAGACAGUAUCCAGGUCUUGAGUUCAAAUCCCAUCAAUGCCA
Molecule: transfer RNA, 92 nt
Filed under: Dipodomys ordii (Ord's kangaroo rat)
Lineage: Eukaryota; Metazoa; Chordata; Mammalia; Rodentia; Heteromyidae
Rfam family: tRNA
About the family: Transfer RNA (tRNA) molecules are approximately 80 nucleotides in length. Their secondary structure includes four short double-helical elements and three loops (D, anti-codon, and T loops).
Source: Rfam by way of RNAcentral